UGGGGAAUAUUGGACAAUGGGGGCAACCCUGAUCCAGCAAUGCCGCGUGUGUGAAGAAGGCCUGAGGGUUGUAAAGCACUUUCAGUGGGGAGGAGGUCUGCUAGGUUAAGAGCUAAGCAGAUGGACGUUACCCACAGAAGAAGCACCGGCUAACUCCGUGCCAGCAGCCGCGGUAAUACGGAGGGUGCAAGCGUUAAUCGGAAUUACUGGGCGUAAAGGGUGCGUAGGUGGUUUGAUAAGUUAACUGUGAAAGCCCUGGGCUCAACCUGGGAAGGCCAGUUAAGACUGUUGAACUAGAGUAUGGGAGAGGAUAGUGGAAUUUCCGGUGUAGCGGUGAAAUGCGUAGAGAUCGGAAGGAACACCAGUGGCGAAGGCGGCUAUCUGGCCUAAUACUGACACUGAAGCACGAAAGCGUGGGGAGCAAACAG
RNAcentral lists this ribosomal RNA (428 nucleotides) under uncultured bacterium. RNAcentral describes it as "bacterial SSU rRNA". It matches the Rfam family "Bacterial small subunit ribosomal RNA", at positions 355 to 775 of the family's 1533-position model. The record is from RNAcentral.